RNAcentral lists this transfer RNA (56 nucleotides) under Ictidomys tridecemlineatus (thirteen-lined ground squirrel). RNAcentral describes it as "Spermophilus tridecemlineatus (thirteen-lined ground squirrel) tRNA". It matches the Rfam family "tRNA", at positions 10 to 63 of the family's 71-position model. Rfam says of the family: Transfer RNA (tRNA) molecules are approximately 80 nucleotides in length. Their secondary structure includes four short double-helical elements and three loops (D, anti-codon, and T loops). The record is from Rfam by way of RNAcentral. Lineage: Eukaryota; Metazoa; Chordata; Mammalia; Rodentia; Sciuridae.
ACUCAGUUGGUAGAGUGCUUGCCUCACAAGCACAAGGCCCUGGGUUCAAACCCCAG